This is a non-coding RNA of Pelobates cultripes (western spadefoot toad), 386 nucleotides long. Lineage: Eukaryota; Metazoa; Chordata; Amphibia; Anura; Pelobatidae. The record is from the annotation of a GenBank genome assembly.
AAAGUCAGCAUAAUUAUUUCAAUCAUUAUUUUAAAGCAUAUAAAGCAAAAAGAGUUUAACUAUUUCAUAUCCUUACAGUCAGCACUAAUGAUUAUAAACCUCAUCUAAGCAUAAAAUACAUAUGAACAAGAAAAGUUAACUACUUCAUAUUCUUACAUCCCCCUCUUUGAGCAAAAAACUUGCUCAUAUUAUCGGUUAACAUUCUCCCAGAACAGAGAAAUUUCAUAGAAACAUAGAAACAUAGAAUGUGACGGCAGAUAAGAGCCAUUCGGCCCAUCUAGUCUGCCCAAUUUUCUAAAUACUUUCAUUAGUCCCUAGCCUUAUCUUAUAGUUAGGAUAGCCUUAUGCCUAUCCCACGCAUGCUUAAACUCCUUUACUGUGUUAAC